Molecule: non-coding RNA, 243 nt
Organism: Vicia faba (fava bean)
Lineage: Eukaryota; Viridiplantae; Streptophyta; Magnoliopsida; Fabales; Fabaceae
Source: the annotation of a GenBank genome assembly
AUGAGGGGUCUAACAGAAUAUUCCCCUAAAGGAGUUACUAAGCUUGCAGUUGUACCUGUAGCAACACUGUGUGUGCAGGAUGAAUCUGAUUUAAGGCCUAAUAUGAGCAUUGUUGUUAAAACACUCCAAAUCCUUGAGAAGGCUCCCACACCUGCACCACAAACUUUUGCACAAAAAAUUAUAGAGUCGGUUGGAUUUGUAUUUGGGAUGCUGGGUGGAUAUUCGUCUGAUAAAGGUUGUUAG